Molecule: ribosomal RNA, 386 nt
Filed under: marine copepod environmental sample
Lineage: Eukaryota; Metazoa; Arthropoda; Copepoda
Description: SSU rRNA
Rfam family: Eukaryotic small subunit ribosomal RNA
Source: RNAcentral
AGCUCCAAUAGCGUAUAUUAAAGUUGUUGCGGUUAAAAAGCUCGUAGUUGGAUCUCGGCGGGCAGGGGGUGGUUCGCUCUUCAGCGCUACUGCCCCGCUUUGCCCGUGUGAUUGGCGGAGGUUUCGGGGUGCUCUUCGCUGAGUGACUCGGAGCGCCGUCAGGUUUACUUUGAAAAAAUUAGAGUGCUCAAAGCAGGCUUUUCACGCUUGAAUAUUCGUGCAUGGAAUAAUGGAAUAGGAACUCGUUUCUAUUUUGUUGGUUUUCGGAAAUCGAGUUAAUGAUUAACAGGGACAAUUGGGGGCAUUCGUAUUCAAACGACAGAGGUGAAAUUCUUGGACCGUUUGAAGACGAACUAAGGCGAAAGCAUUUGCCAAGAAUGUUUUCA